UCCCUCAGGAAAGUGGUUUUAGUGAGAGUCUGAAAAUCUAUUCUUCUUCAAUGCCACUUUUUGGUACAUUUCGUAUCUGAAUGAAUCUUGUACACUCCUUUUCAAUUUUCCCCGGGCCAUCUCAUUCAUUCCUACUUUGCUAAAGUCAGACCCUUGAUUUUGACUCCCAGGGAAAAGUACCAUGGGAAAUGUAAUUCGAAUUAUUGUACUCACUUUGGAAACCAAUGUUGGAAUGAAAACUGAUUGAUUCACAAUCUCCAUGGGCUAAAUUUCUUGCAAUUGUUUUAGGAAUGUACAGGGAGUCAUUCGGGUACAUUUUAAAAGUGUUAAUGAAGGCUCAAAGGAAAUCUGUAAAUGAUUGUCUCAAAUGGAUUGUGAAGUCUAAAGCAGAAUGGGGCUGAAGUGACGUAAUACAACAUCUUCAGAGGCUCACUUUAGGUAUCUUGUCAAAGCAAAGUCUAAUAACCAACUUGUAUGGGUGAUUAUCUGACUUUGUUAGUAACAAACAGUCUGUGGACCUCAUUACCGGAAUUUCUGCCACUUUGAUUUUUAUCACACAAUAUCUGCUGAUGACUUGCAAGGGCAGCCUUGUAACAACAUUAUUUCAGUAGGCAGAUAACUGCAGUCAUAAAUUCCUGCUCUAAUAGUUUAUUGCAAGUGGUACAGUGUUGACAGUGUUUCUGUUUUAUAGCUCCAUCCCUGGACUUCUGAGGAAACUCAAAGGCAUCAAUGUUUGUUUCUUCACAAAUCGUCUUGGGGCCCAGUGCACAAAGCAGUGAAAUCUAACAAUCCUUUGUUAAGGUUAAUGCUUGCAGCAUGUUGCAGACCUUUUUAAAUGCUGCACAUGAACAAUGACUAACUUGGUCCACUAGUGGACCAGAUUGGAAUGGUGGGUAUCAGGAGAUGGAAGGAAAUGGGCCAGGCUGGAGCAAGGACAAACAGCUCGAGAAAAGCGUUGAAGCUAAUGUCCAGAGGCAUCCUCACUUUCCACAGGGAAGAUUUCAUCAUAUGAAGGCGGUGGAAUGCUGUCGGGAACUUCAUCCACUGUUAACGUGUCUUGUAAAUCAUCGUGGGUUUCCUCUGCUCUGUGGGAAAUAUUACCAAUAUAAGUUUUGCAAGUUAGCAUUCGGAACUUGCAGACAGCAAUGAGAACAAACGUAACUCCCACCGAAAGUAGAAUUGGCCCCAGCAGCUGCGUCCAUUCCAAGUCACUGGUUCCAUAAUAUUUAAUCCAGCCCAUCACGGUGAAGGUUAUGCCGACCAGAACCAAAAAGACACCGGAAAAUAGCAGUGUGGCCCCGGCUUUGUCCCCAUCUGACACCUGGACUCUUGGAGCCUGAGACUGGCAGGGAGUCACAGAAAACACAUUCACAGAGAAAUCCUCCACAUUGCUGCUGCACUGCUCCAUUUGGCUCGCACAGUCUCUGCUGUGUGACCGUCCCGUGAAAGAAAAAGAGAUUGGACCGGUACAUAGUGUCUAAAGCACGGUGUCAUCAACAACAAAAUAGUGCGUUGUGGCAAGUUAAUGAUUAAUGUUACAAUAUUAAAAUUCUUAUACUGUGCAGAACUG
Molecule: long non-coding RNA, 1570 nt
Organism: Leucoraja erinaceus (little skate)
Lineage: Eukaryota; Metazoa; Chordata; Chondrichthyes; Rajiformes; Rajidae
Exons: 4
Source: RefSeq, a predicted model, not a curated record